This 1127-nucleotide ribosomal RNA is filed under the name uncultured marine bacterium. RNAcentral describes it as "bacterial SSU rRNA". It matches the Rfam family "Bacterial small subunit ribosomal RNA", at positions 9 to 1176 of the family's 1533-position model. The record is from RNAcentral.
GAGUUUGAUCAUGGCUCAGGAUGAACGCUAGCGGCAGGCUUAACACAUGCAAGUCGAGGGGUAGCAGGGAGCUUGCUCCGCUGACGACCGGCGAACGGGUGCGUAACGCGUAUAGAAUCUACCUCUUACUAAGGGAUAGCCCAGAGAAAUUUGGAUUAAUAUCUUAUAGUAUACAGACCUGGCAUCAGGAUUGUAUUAAAGGUUACGGUAAGAGAUGACUAUGCGUCCUAUUAGCUAGAUGGUGUGGUAACGGCACACCAUGGCUACGAUAGGUAGGGGCCCUGAGAGGGGGAUCCCCCACACUGGUACUGAGACACGGACCAGACUCCUACGGGAGGCAGCAGUGAGGAAUAUUGGACAAUGGAGGCAACUCUGAUCCAGCCAUGCCGCGUGCAGGAAGACUGCCCUAUGGGUUGUAAACUGCUUUUAUACAGGAAGAAACACUCUCACGUGUGAGAGCUUGACGGUACUGUAAGAAUAAGGAUCGGCUAACUCCGUGCCAGCAGCCGCGGUAAUACGGAGGAUCCAAGCGUUAUCCGGAAUCAUUGGGUUUAAAGGGUCCGUAGGUGGAUGAUUAAGUCAGAGGUGAAAUCCUGCAGCUCAACUGUAGAAUUGCCUUUGAUACUGGUUGUCUUGAGUUAUUAUGAAGUAGUUAGAAUAUGUAGUGUAGCGGUGAAAUGCAUAGAUAUUACAUAGAAUACCAAUUGCGAAAGGCAGAUUACUAAUAAUAUACUGACACUGAUGGACGAAAGCGUGGGGAGCGAACAGGAUUAGAUACCCUGGUAGUCCACGCCGUAAACGAUGGUCACUAGCUGUUCGGACUUCCGGUUUGAGUGCUAAGCGAAAGUGAUAGUGACCCACCUGGGGAGUACGUUCGCAGAUGAACUCAAAGGAUUGACGGGGCCGCACAGCGUGAGCAUGUGUUUAUCGAUGAUACGCGAGACUACAGGCUAAUGUAGAUGGACAGUUUAGAAAUAGACUUUUCUCGACAUUACAGUGCUGCAUGAUGGUCGUCAGCUCUGCCUGAGGUUCAGGUUAGUCCUAUAACGAGCGCAACCCUGUGUAGUGCAGCGAAUCAGUCGAACUUACUACUGCAUGCACCUGUCAGGAAGUGGAAUAACUUUCCA